CGUUUAAAUUUUAAAAAUAUGCCGUGUUUAAAUCGUUAAAACAUUGCGUGGUCAUAUAAAGACGUGAAAUCGCACGUCUUCUUGUGAAAGCCUGAGCUAUAUUGGAUUUAUUGAAGUCCAUUUCGUUUGGCUUUGGCAAAAAGUAUUCCAUUUUUUUUUUUAAAAUAAGUACUUUUCCAAAAUCUCUUCUUAAAAUGUCUUCAGUUCACUUCUGGUACCAUGUAAUGUUUUGUCUUUAUAUUUAUUAUAAAGAGAAUUCGACUAUGAUUUUUAUUUAAUAUUUAUUUCAAUAUUUUCAUAUUAAAUUAUCACAAGUUUAAAUAUAAAACUUUGUAUAGUUUCGCGUCUUCAACUGUAAAAUUGUUUCAGUUUUGAAAUUUUGUUGAAAUAUUUUUUAAAUUUUGGGUAUUGCUAAAAGCUUAUUUUUAGGAAUUCAUAUUUGCCUAUAUCAGAGACUGUUAUAUACAGUAGUCCAGAAAUAAGUUUUUGUUUGCAAAAGGGUAACUUGCAACUAGCUGAACUGAAAAAAAAUCUUAAAAAAACGAAAGUCUUGCACAAAAAAGCUAAAAAAAAUAAAUAAAAAGUUAACUACAGAGAACGAAGAUCUUCCUGAGCCACCUGUUUUUUUUCUCACUUAAGUUAUAAAACUCCAGAACAUGUGGCAAGCAGAUCGAGUGGUCUGUCUAGCAUUCUGUCAUUAUUUUCUAAACCUCAUGGAAAGCCACUUUUAAAAGAAUUUCCAUUUUGCUCUUCAGAUGGAUGGCUGUAUUCAGCUGCAACAGCUGUAGAACAGAAACUAAUUCUUCUUCUUUAAAAAAUUAAAGCGCAAGGAGAUGAGCUUAAGGAACAAGGAGAAAAAACUAUAAACCUGUUACAGCACCUUGCGAAAACAAACAAGGUAGAAAGUUUAGUAAGAGGAUUACCUUUCCGAUUGCCAGCAACAACUGUAGAAGAGUUAAACCUUAUUAACAAUCAAGCUAAAGAAAGCGACAUUAAAGGAAGACUGAAGCUCUAUUUUAUCUUAAUAACAAGAUUUCUUGGAUUGGUUGGCGAGCUCAAUGUAAAGUUAACUACCAGAGCAGUGCUAAGUCGUUUACUGAUCACAAAUGUAGCAAAGUUAUGUAUAUGGAAGGGAAAAGGAAAUAAGAUUGAAUUCAGCAAAAUGCAAUUUGUUGGAAUUGUUUGUGAAAACAUCUUACAGAUGUAGAAAUUGGACGAAUUAUUGAAGUUGCUAACCAAGGAGAGUCUCUCAGAAGCAUUGGAAAGCGUUUUAAACAAGAAAACUCAACUAGUAGUAGAUUGGUAAAGAAAUAUAAACACACUGGUAAAACUAAAAGGGCUGUUGGAUCUGGGAGAAAGCCAAAAACUUAAAAAAAGGAAGAUCAUUAAAUCACUUGUUCUGAGAUAAAACUAAAUUUGAACCUUACUAAUAUCUCAAAGUGAAUAAUAUUUCGCAGAAUUAAAGCAUCAAGUGAUUUUUUUUCUGGAAAGCAAAUUAAAAAACCUUUUGUUAGUGAAAUCAAUUGAAAAAAGUGUAUAAAGUGGUGCAUUGAGCACAAAGAUUGGACAUAUGAACAAUGGACUAAAGUUGUCUGGAGCUAUGAGUCUCUGUUUGUUUUGUAUUAAAAUGAUCGAUCUCACUGGAAAUUAAUUGGGGAAAAAAUCAAUCCUCAAACGUGCAAGGCAACUAUUAAACAUUACAAAAGUAUUAAUGUCUGGGGUUGUUUGAGUGCACACAAAGUUGGAAAACUUUAACGGGUGAAUCGCAUCAUGGACCAGCAUUUGUAUCACAAAAUCUUAGUUAAUCAGCUUGGACAAGUUUAAAAGAAAUUUUUGCUAAUGGUGAUUACAUCUUUCAACAGGAUAAUUAUCCUAAACAUACAGCACGGUUGAAUAAAAGAUAUCUAGAAUCUAAAUUGAUACCAGUUAUGUCUUAGCCAGCACAGUCUCCUGUUUUAAAUCCAAUAGAAAACCUUCGGUCUAUUUUAGAUAAAAAAUUGCAAGAUCGUAGGGCAACAAAUGAAGAUGAUCUGUUCCAAAUUCUUUUUGCAGGCUGGAAUGCUUUUCCAAACAACUUAUUAAAAAGACUUGUAGAUAGUAUGCCUUCUAGAUGCGCGGAAGUCAUAAGAAACAAAGGAUGACAAAUUACAUACUAAAACAGCUUUAACCUCAAAAAUACUUUACAAAUCCAAUUUUCUUUUUAUUAUAUGUAAUAUACAACUAUAUUAUAAACAUUUUUAUCAAAAUUGGCCUUUAUUACUUUAUUAU
Long non-coding RNA from Hydra vulgaris (swiftwater hydra), 2268 nucleotides. RefSeq lists it as uncharacterized. The record is from RefSeq and is a predicted model, not a curated record. Lineage: Eukaryota; Metazoa; Cnidaria; Hydrozoa; Anthoathecata; Hydridae.